GCCACCGAGCCUGGCUGUUGGGGGAGGGGGAUGGUCUUUCGAGCUCUCCCAAGCCUUACUGGUCCCUGUGCUGCAGCCUGGGGGGCCACGAAGAGGCACUGGUGCUCGGCUUGUCCACGGCCAGGGCUCAGGGCAGAAUGGAGCAGCACGCUUGUUCCCUGCUGGGUUGUCAGGUGUGGAGAGGGUGCUCCUGGGGUUGUGGUGGCCUGGGGCACUCACGGCCCCAUCCCCCAGAUGCCCCGUGGUGUGGGCACUGCCAGGCCCUGGCCCCCGAGUACAGCAAGGCAGCUGCCGUGCUCGCGGCCGAGUCAACGGUGGUCACGCUGGCCAAGGUGGACGGGCCCGCGCAGCGCGAGCUGGCUGAGGAGUUUGGUGUGACGGAGUACCCUACGCUCAAGUUCUUCCGCAACGGGAACCGCACGCACCCGGAGGAGUACACAGGUGAGGGGCAGGCCGGUCACGGGGGGGCGGUGGCCAGGCCGAGGCUGAGGGGGACUCCCUGCAGGACCACGGGACGCUGAGGGCAUUGCCGAGUGGCUGCGACGGCGGGUGGGGCCCAGUGCCACGCGGCUGGAGGACGAGGCGGCCGCCCAGGCGCUGAUCGGUGGCCGGGACCUAGUGGUCAUCGGCUUCUUCCAGGACCUGCAGGACGAGGACGUGGCCGCCUUCUUGGCCCUGGCCCAGGACGCCCUGGACAUGACCUUUGGCCUCACAGACCGGCCGCGGCUCUUUCAGCAGUUUGGUCUCAGCAAGGACACUGUGGUUCUCUUCAAGAAGGUAGGUCAGGCCCAGGUGAGGGUUGGGGUCCGGCUGCCGCGCCCGCUGACCCACCUGCUGCUGUCCAGUUUGACGAGGGGCGGGCAGACUUCGCCGUGGACGAGGAGCUUGGCCUGGACCUGGGGGAUCUGUUGCGCUUCCUGGUCACACACAGCAUGCGCCUGGUCACGGAGUUCAAUAGCCAGGUGCGUAGGCUGCAGUGCCUGGGCUGGGGGUGUCCCAGGGUAGAGUCGUCCAGGGAUGGGGGUGCCCAGGCUGGGGGUCCUGUGGAGUCAUGAGCACCCUCCCUACUGUAGACGUCUGCCAAGAUCUUCGCGGCCAGGAUCCUCAACCACCUGCUGCUUUUUGUCAACCAGACGCUGGCUGCGCACCGGGAGCUCCUAGCGGGCUUUGGGGAGGCAGCUCCCCGCUUCCGGGGGCAGGUACUGGGGUCCAGGGGGAGGGGCAGCUGGAUGGGGGCAGGUACUGGGGGGCUGGGGGAAAGGGGCAGCGGGAGAGUGGCCGGUGCCAGCAUGGACUCCCUGCCACAGGUGCUGUUCGUGGUGGUGGACGUGGUGGCCGACAAUGAGCACGUGCUGCAGUACUUUGGCCUCAAGGCUGAGGCAGCCCCCACUCUGCGCUUGGUCAACCUUGAAACCACUAAAAAGUAUGCGCCUGUGGAUGGGGGCCCUGUCACCGCAGCAUCCAUCACUGCUUUCUGCCAUGCAGUCCUCAACGGCCAAGUCAAGCCCUAUCUCCUGAGCCAGGAGAUACCCCCUGAUUGGGAUCAGCGGCCAGUUAAGACCCUCGUGAGCAAGAAUUUUGAGCAGGUGGCUUUUGACGAAACCAAGAAUGUGUUUGUCAAGUUCUGUGAGUGUUGAGGGAGGCAGGGGUGGUGUGGGCUGGGCAGGGGCUGCCCAGAUGGCUGUGCUCAACGGCUCCCAUCCUAGAUGCCCCGUGGUGUACCCACUGCAAGGAGAUGGCCCCUGCCUGGGAGGCAUUGGCUGAGAAGUACCAAGACCACGAGGACAUCAUCAUUGCUGAGCUGGAUGCCACGGCCAACGAGCUGGAUGCCUUCGCUGUGCACAGCUUCCCUACCCUCAAGUACUUCCCAGCAGGGCCAGGUCGGAAGGUGAUUGAAUACAAAAGCACCAGGGAUCUGGAGACUUUCUCCAAGUUCCUGGACAAUGGGGGCGUGCUGCCCAAGGAGGAGCCCCCGGAGGAGCCAGCAGCCCCAUUCCUGGAGCCACCGGCCAACUCCACUAUGGGGUCCAAGGAGGAACUGUAGCUGCCCCCGUCACCCCCCCCCCUUCACUGCUGGACAGGAGCCACCCCCUUGGGUACCAGAGGGAGCUGUGCACUGUGAAUAAAGAAAGAGCUUGG
This 2139-nucleotide small RNA is filed under the name Pan troglodytes (chimpanzee). RNAcentral's name for it is "retained intron". The record is from RNAcentral. Lineage: Eukaryota; Metazoa; Chordata; Mammalia; Primates; Hominidae.